AUUGAACGCUGGCGGCAUGCUUUACACAUGCAAGUCGAACGGCAGCACAGGGAGCUUGCUCCCGGGUGGCGAGUGGCGCACGGGUGAGUAAUACAUCGGAACGUGUCCUGUUGUGGGGAGUAACUGCUCGAAAGGGUGGCUAAUACCGCAUGAGACCUGAGGGUGGAAAGCGGGGGAGUCGCAAGACCUCGCGCAAUUGGAGCGGCCGAUGCCCGAUUAGCUAGUUGGUGAGGUAAAGGCUCACCAAGGCGACGAUCGGUAGCUGGUCUGAGAGGACGACCAGCCACACUGGGACUGAGACACGGCCCAGACUCCUACGGGAGGCAGCAGUGGGGGAAUUUUGGACAAAUGGGGGGCGAACCCUGAUCCAGCCAUGCCGCGUGCAGGAUGAAGGCCUUCGGUUGUAAACUGCUUUGUUCAGGGACGAAAAGGACCGUGUUAAUACCAUGGUCUGCUGACGGUACCUGAAGAAUAAGCACCGGCUAACUACGU
This 492-nucleotide ribosomal RNA is filed under the name uncultured bacterium. RNAcentral describes it as "bacterial SSU rRNA". It matches the Rfam family "Bacterial small subunit ribosomal RNA", at positions 30 to 506 of the family's 1533-position model. The record is from RNAcentral.